AACGAACGCUGGCGGCAUGCCUAACACAUGCAAGUCGAACGAGACCUUCGGGUCUAGUGGCGCACGGGUGCGUAACGCGUGGGAAUCUGCCCUUGGGUUCGGAAUAACUCGCCGAAAGGCGUGCUAAUACCGGAUGAUGUCGAAAGACCAAAGAUUUAUCGCCCAGGGAUGAGCCCGCGUAAGAUUAGCUAGUUGGUGAGGUAAAGGCUCACCAAGGCGACGGUCUUUAGCUGGUCUGAGAGGAUGAUCAGCCACACUGGGACUGAGACACGGCCCAGACUCCUACGGGAGGCAGCAGUGGGGAAUAUUGGACGAUGGGCGAAAGCCUGAUCCAGCAAUGCCGCGUGAGUGAUGAAGGCCUUAGGGUUGUAAAGCUCUUUUACCCGGGAUGAUAAUGACAGUACCGGGAGAAUAAGCUCCGGCUAACUCCGUGCCAGCAGCCGCGGUAAUACGGAGGGAGCUAGCGUUGUUCGGAAUUACUGGGCGUAAAGCGCACGUAGGCGGCUUUGUAAGUCAGAGGUGAAAGCCUGGAGCUCAACUCCAGAACUGCCUUUGAGACUGCAUCGCUUGAAUCCAGGAGAGGUGAGUGGAAUUCCGAGUGUAGAGGUGAAAUUCGUAGAUAUUCGGAAGAACACCAGUGGCGAAGGCGGCUCACUGGACUGGUAUUGACGCUGAGGUGCGAAAGCGUGGGGAGCAAACAGG
This 702-nucleotide ribosomal RNA is filed under the name uncultured Alphaproteobacteria bacterium. RNAcentral describes it as "bacterial SSU rRNA". It matches the Rfam family "Bacterial small subunit ribosomal RNA", at positions 28 to 776 of the family's 1533-position model. Lineage: Bacteria; Pseudomonadati; Pseudomonadota; Alphaproteobacteria. The record is from RNAcentral.